Molecule: ribosomal RNA, 253 nt
Filed under: uncultured bacterium
Lineage: Bacteria
Description: partial 16S ribosomal RNA
Rfam family: Bacterial small subunit ribosomal RNA
Source: RNAcentral
UACGGAGGGUGCAAGCGUUAUCCGGAUUCACUGGGUUUAAAGGGUGCGUAGGCGGGCAGGUAAGUCCGUGGUGAAAUCUCCAAGCUUAACUUGGAAACUGCCGUGGAUACUAUUUGUCUUGAAUAUAGUGGAGGUGAGCGGAAUAUGUCAUGUAGCGGUGAAAUGCUUAGAUAUGACAUAGAACACCCAUUGCGAAGGCAGCUCGCUACACUAUUAUUGACGCUGAGGCACGAAAGCGUGGGGACCAAACAGG